RNAcentral lists this long non-coding RNA (1251 nucleotides) under Struthio camelus australis. RNAcentral describes it as "lncRNA (ENSSCUG00000005847.1)". The record is from RNAcentral. Lineage: Eukaryota; Metazoa; Chordata; Aves; Struthioniformes; Struthionidae.
AGCUUUUACCCCGUCCUUCCAACGGCGCUCGCUAAGUAUUGUUUUCAGCACAGCCCAAGGCGCAGGGUGCUGGGGCACAGGAAACAGGCUCUUGGAGAUGCGACUGCUUUUGAGAUGAAGAUGCCUGAGUGGUUUUGAUUCCAGCGUUACCGUGCCGUUCUUCUGCUGUUGAAUGACUUCGCUCACGCCUCCGCGCCCAGGGAGCCUUGCACUUACAUGGGCGGGCGUAAACCCUUCCUUGGCAAACAUAUUACACAGCGCUGUUUCUGCAGACACCUGCCACCAGCUGCAGCAUUUCCUGCUAUAGGGUCUAAUUCACACUGUUCCCGGCUCCUUUUGUCACUGCCACUUUUUCCGCUCACCAUAGACCUGUGGCGAAAUACCGAGAGCGGUGCUUGACAGGGUCGAGGCACUGGAUGAUCGUUGGAGGAGAGGAGAUGUUUGUCACCGCUAAGGAGCGGGACAGGACUGGGACUGUGCUAAUGCCACGCUGAAAGAUGAAUUCAUCGUGUUUUCUUUCUUUUUUUUUUUUAAUUCAACCUUUUUUAUGGUCAAAGCUGUAGCGCUCUCAAACACCGAGCUCCAUGAAUGUGAAAAAAUUGCAGACUGCGGUCAGUGGGCCAGCCGCUUUGCACACCACAAAACAUAUUUCCAGCAGAGACGUGGACACCCGUGCGGCGAUUUUACUCCUGCAGGAUCCUUCAGAGAAACCCACAGAGUCAUCAUGGUCUGCGGACUGCACACAGGCAACUCGACUAUAAUUUAUUCAUUAUGCACCGGCUCCAAAGAUGAUUGUGAUCAUUCCUCUUCCUCCUUGUGGAAUGUUUUGACAUUUCCCUGUGUCUGGUGGAGUUCAGUCCUUUCUUUAAAUAAACACGCAGCUUUCUCAUGGGAAGAGAUCCAGGAGCUCCUACCUGCGUCUUGGGCUAUGGAAACCCUGCAGAUGAGAUCUCUGGAUUUGCAAAUGGAAGAGGAGAUCCUGGGGGAAGGGCCAGCACCUGAACUGCCGACAUUGCCCAGAGGUAGGGCAGGAGCUCAGCCAGGAGAAGGGUCCCCCAAGGAGUACUGCUGGGACACUUCACAGCUUGCAAUCCAGAGGGCAGAUCUACGCACAGAGCUUUUGUUACACUUCAAACACGAGUCAGAUCUACCUCAGCAGAGCCAUGCAUAUUUACCCCUGCUGAAGGGCUGCCCAUUAUAUUAAAUCCGUAGAAGAAAUGAAGAUCUGAGUGGCAUUUCAGCAGGUAAGAC